RNAcentral lists this ribosomal RNA (253 nucleotides) under uncultured bacterium. Its description in RNAcentral is "partial 16S ribosomal RNA". It matches the Rfam family "Bacterial small subunit ribosomal RNA", at positions 524 to 776 of the family's 1533-position model. The record is from RNAcentral.
UACGGGGGGGGCAAGCGUUGUUCGGAAUUACUGGGCGUAAAGGGCUCGUAGGUGGCCAACUAAGUCAGACGUGAAAUCCCUCGGCUUAACCGGGGAACUGCGUCUGAUACUGGAUGGCUUGAGUUCGGGAGAGGGAUGCGGAAUUCCAGGUGUAGCGGUGAAAUGCGUAGAUAUCUGGAGGAACACCGGUGGCGAAGGCGGCAUCCUGGACCGAUACUGACGCUGAGACGCGACAGCGUGGGGAGCAAACAGG